This 433-nucleotide ribosomal RNA is filed under the name uncultured bacterium. RNAcentral describes it as "partial 16S ribosomal RNA". It matches the Rfam family "Bacterial small subunit ribosomal RNA", at positions 29 to 507 of the family's 1533-position model. The record is from RNAcentral.
AACGAACGCUGGCGGCAUGCCUAACACAUGCAAGUCGAACGAGACCUUCGGGUCUAGUGGCGCACGGGUGCGUAACGCGUGGGAACCUGCCCUUAGGUUCGGAAUAACUCCCCGAAAGGGGUGCUAAUACCGGAUAAUGUCUUCGGACCAAAGAUUUAUCGCCUUUGGAUGGGCCCGCGUUGGAUUAGCUAGUUGGUAGGGUAAAAGCCUACCAAGGCGACGAUCCAUAGCUGGUCUGAGAGGAUGAUCAGCCACACUGGGACUGAGACACGGCCCAGACUCUUACGGGAGGCAGCAGUGGGGAAUAUUGGACAAUGGGCGAAAGCCUGAUCCAGCAAUGCCGCGUGAGUGAUGAAGGCCUUAGGGUUGUAAAGCUCCUUUACCCGGGAUGAUAAUGACAGUACCGGGAGAAUAAGCUCCGGCUAACUCCGUG